This 253-nucleotide ribosomal RNA is filed under the name uncultured bacterium. RNAcentral's name for it is "partial 16S ribosomal RNA". It matches the Rfam family "Bacterial small subunit ribosomal RNA", at positions 524 to 776 of the family's 1533-position model. The record is from RNAcentral.
UACGUAGGGUGCGAGCGUUGUUCGGAAUUAUUGGGCGUAAAGAGCUUGUAGGCGGUUUGUCGCGUCUGCUGUGAAAAUCCGGGGCUCAACCCCGGACUUGCAGUGGGUACGGGCAGACUAGAGUGUGGUAGGGGAGACUGGAAUUCCUGGUGUAGCGGUGAAAUGCGCAGAUAUCGGGAGGAACACCAGUAGCGAAGGCGGCACUCUGGGCCGGUACUGACGCUGAGGAGCGAAAGCGUGGGGAGCAAACAGG